Molecule: long non-coding RNA, 708 nt
Filed under: Trifolium pratense (red clover)
Lineage: Eukaryota; Viridiplantae; Streptophyta; Magnoliopsida; Fabales; Fabaceae
Description: long non-coding RNA (TPRA_LNC013943)
Source: RNAcentral
GCAAGCAUCGUUCCACCUGCACACACUACACAUUUUUCUAACACUUUUGCAGGCAGUUCUUCCUCAUCAAGAUAGAGUACCGUCGAUGAUGUGUUCUAUGAAAUGCGCGCUCUAAAUGCUAUCAACNNNNNNNNNNNNNNNNNNNNNUUUAUGCGAUGCAUCAGCAACAAGAGGAGAUGUUGGAACGAAUGGAAUUCAUGCAAGCCCAAUAAGCACAAAUUCUUCAAAGCCAACAUCAAAUGCAGGGCUAUCACAACCAAUGAGAGAGCUCAGAAGAGCACCGUCAACAGCAGCUCAACAAUGUCAUACAAGAGCUAGGCGGUUUAAGGCUUCAGUUCAAUAAUUUCCAAAAUUAUCAACAACCUCCCUCAUGAUAUAUCACAUGUUUUACGCUCCAAUUCUACUCUUGAGUCACAACAGUGAGGACACUGUUGAAUUUAAGUUUAGGGGAGUAUUCUACUAUCUUUAUUUACUUUUAGUUUAGUUAUUUGAAUUUUUAUUAGUUUAUUUUUCCUUUCGCAUAAUAAAAAAAUUGAAUUUAUAGUAUAUUCUUUGGUUUUCUAAAUUUUUCCUUUUCUUGAGCCAAAUUAAAAUUUUUUUCCAAAGACUUAGGAUAAUAGCUCACUUAGAAAGUAUAUAGGUUAAGAAAAGAGGAGAGGCUAAGUUAAGGAAAUUAGGGAAUUUUACAACAAAAUCGGUAUUUUUCCA